ACUUGCUGUGGGUACGGGCAGACUAGAGUAUGGUAGGGGAGACCGGAAUUCCUGGUGUAGCGGUGGAAUGCGCAGAUAUCAGGAGGAACACCGAUGGCGAAGGCAGGUCUCUGGGCCAUAACUGACGCUGAGAAGCGAAAGCAUGGGGAGCGAACAGGAUUAGAUACCCUGGUAGUCCAUGCCGUAAACGUUGGGCGCUAGGUGUGGGGCUCAUUCCACGAGCUCCGUGCCGCAGCUAACGCAUUAAGCGCCCCGCCUGGGGAGUACGGCCGCAAGGCUAAAACUCAAAGGAAUUGACGGGGCCCGCACAAGCGGCGGAGCAUGCGGAUUAAUUCGAUGCAACGCGAAGAACCUUACCAAGGCUUGACAUAUACCGGAAACAUCCAGAGAUGGGUGCCCCGCAAGGUCGGUAUACAGGUGGU
This 422-nucleotide ribosomal RNA is filed under the name uncultured bacterium. RNAcentral's name for it is "bacterial SSU rRNA". It matches the Rfam family "Bacterial small subunit ribosomal RNA", at positions 619 to 1042 of the family's 1533-position model. The record is from RNAcentral.